UCGUGUGCUUGAUCACAGGUAGUUAAAAGAUGUGUAGGCAAGAAAUAAGUCAGGAUAUAUACUUGCCCGAUUGGACCUGAUGGGAAAUAUGGUAGCCUUAUAGCCAUGCCUUUAUAGGUCUCUGCUAAAUGUCAUUGGUACCCAUUUUCUGGGAACCCUAGGAUGAUCCUGGCAGAAUGUAUUAUAGUGGCCAGUGUUAGCAUUCUGUCUAGGCUCCACCCCACAGUUACCUGGCAACAGCCAGGUAUGUAUAAGAGGGGCUGCUUUCCCCCUCCUCUCUCUCUUGCCUUCUUGUUCUCACUGUCCUCUCCCCCUCCCCAUCUCUCUCCACUUGCUCAUGGCUGGCCUCUACUCCUCUACUCUUACACACACUCUCUCUCUCUUUCUCUCUCUCUCUCUCCCUCAGGGGGAAGGGAUGUCUCAGCAUGGGCCCUGCAGAGGCACCCCCUUCCCCCACACCUAACUACACAUCCACCAAACCUAUUCCUUUUCUCCAUAACGUUUUAUAAAACACAGCAGUCAGUAUUUAAUUAAAGCUUGCCUCAAAUUUGGGUCAAAUUUAGUGGUAGUGGUCUCAUUCUUGAUCGGUUCAACACCACCACACAAGCUCUCCAAGCCUCUUUCCAGUGCCAUAUUCUCCACAGGGACUUGUCUGACUU
Molecule: long non-coding RNA, 659 nt
Filed under: Rattus norvegicus (Norway rat)
Lineage: Eukaryota; Metazoa; Chordata; Mammalia; Rodentia; Muridae
Description: long non-coding RNA NONRATT014038
Source: RNAcentral